CUCGCCCGGAAAGACAGAUGCCGCACGGCUACGGCUAUGCGGCCAGUGCACGGGCAAAAGGAGCGUUACCCCUUCCUCGCAGCAAACGGGGAAAAGAUUAACUGGGUCCGGCCUCAAGUAGCGAAUGCGAAAGCGGUCGGACUUU
Molecule: non-coding RNA, 145 nt
Filed under: Cloacibacillus evryensis DSM 19522
Lineage: Bacteria; Thermotogati; Synergistota; Synergistia; Synergistales; Synergistaceae
Description: RT-14 RNA
Rfam family: RT-14 RNA
About the family: Cloacimonetes, Firmicutes, Proteobacteria. Nearby to self-splicing intron genes
Source: Rfam by way of RNAcentral